CUGUGCGUCCCCGGACCUGGCGCACCCGCCGCGGGAGCAGCAGCCGCUGCCGCGUGAUGAGGCUGCGGACGGAGAUGCACCUGCAGAAGAGGAGACGGUCAGACAGCCCCAGACGCCUCCGCCGCCGGGGAGCCCCGGACGCCCCACUGCUCAUCUCUGCGGGAGGGGGCGGCUGGGAGGAGGAGCGCAGGCCUUCGUUUCCUUUUCUGUUUUAUUUUCAGUUCCUUUGUUUUGAAUAAAUGGACUUCUUCGGUAACAAGAGAUUACAUGAAAGCAGAGACUCUUCCAGUAUUAAUUUAGUUGGCCGGAAGCGGAGCAGGUGUUGUGAAAAGGACACAGGCAAACACGUGUUCGCGUUUGUAUGAUUUACGCCAACACCGAGCGCCGGAAAUUACAAGAUGAUCAGGAAGAGAUUAAAAAGAUAGUUUCUGCCCUCCGGGGAUUCCCAAUUAGUGGAUGAGAAAGGCGAGGAUUACAGCAUAGCACGAUGUGGAUACUUUUCUGGAACAGGCCAGUCUUCCAGCUGGCCUGUACAGACAGGAGUUAGAACCCCUGCCUCUCUCAGAGCCCCACCCUCUUGGUCCAGAUGUGGACAGAUUCAGUUGUGUUUGAGGGGACACUUGUGUGGUUGGGAAAAGAUAACCUCUGCCUC
Molecule: long non-coding RNA, 652 nt
Organism: Cynocephalus volans (Philippine flying lemur)
Lineage: Eukaryota; Metazoa; Chordata; Mammalia; Dermoptera; Cynocephalidae
Exons: 3
Source: RefSeq, a predicted model, not a curated record